This 440-nucleotide ribosomal RNA is filed under the name uncultured bacterium. RNAcentral describes it as "partial 16S ribosomal RNA". It matches the Rfam family "Bacterial small subunit ribosomal RNA", at positions 338 to 795 of the family's 1533-position model. The record is from RNAcentral.
CCUACGGUGAGCAGCAGUGGGGGAUAUUGCACAAUGGGGGCAACCCUGAUGCAGCGACGCCGCGUGUGGGAAGACGGUCCUCUGGAUUGUAAACCACUGUCCCCAGGGACGAAAAUGACGGUACCUGGGGAGGAAGCUCCGGCUAACUACGUGCCAGCAGCCGCGGUAAUACGUAGGGAGCGAGCUUUGUCCGGAAUUACUGGGUGUAAAGGGAGCGUCGGCGGUGAUGCAAGUUGGGGGUCAAAACUCCCGGCUCAACUGGUAGUCGCACUCAAAACUGCAGAUCUUGAGUGAAGUAGAGGCAGGCGGAAUGCCUAGUGUAGCGGUGAAAUGCGUAGAUAUUAGGAGGAACACCAGUGGCGAAGGCGGCCUGCUGGGCUUUUACUGACGCUGAGGCUCGAAAGUGUGGGGAGCAAACAGGAUUAGAUACCCGAGUAGUC